This 1915-nucleotide ribosomal RNA is filed under the name Vibrio cholerae HC-7A1. RNAcentral describes it as "bacterial LSU rRNA". It matches the Rfam family "Bacterial large subunit ribosomal RNA", at positions 1027 to 2925 of the family's 2925-position model. The record is from RNAcentral. Lineage: Bacteria; Pseudomonadati; Pseudomonadota; Gammaproteobacteria; Vibrionales; Vibrionaceae.
CCAGACCGCCAGCUAAGGUCCCAAAGUAUUGCUAAGUGGGAAACGAUGUGGGAAGGCUCAGACAGCUAGGAUGUUGGCUUAGAAGCAGCCAUCAUUUAAAGAAAGCGUAAUAGCUCACUAGUCGAGUCGGCCUGCGCGGAAGAUGUAACGGGGCUAAGCAAUACACCGAAGCUGCGGCAAUGUCUUUUAGACAUUGGGUAGGGGAGCGUUCUGUAAGCCGUUGAAGGUGAAUCGUAAGGUUUGCUGGAGGUAUCAGAAGUGCGAAUGCUGACAUGAGUAACGACAAAGGGGGUGAAAAACCUCCUCGCCGGAAGACCAAGGGUUCCUGUCCAACGUUAAUCGGGGCAGGGUGAGUCGACCCCUAAGGUGAGGCCGAAAGGCGUAAUCGAUGGGAAACGGGUUAAUAUUCCCGUACUUCUGACUAUUGCGAUGGGGGGACGGAGAAGGCUAGGUGGGCCAGGCGACGGUUGUCCUGGUUCAAGUGCGUAGGCUUGAGAGUUAGGUAAAUCCGGCUCUCUCUAAGGCUGAGACACGACGUCGAGCUACUACGGUAGUGAAGUCAUUGAUGCCAUGCUUCCAGGAAAAGCCUCUAAGCUUCAGAUAGUCAGGAAUCGUACCCCAAACCGACACAGGUGGUCGGGUAGAGAAUACCAAGGCGCUUGAGAGAACUCGGGUGAAGGAACUAGGCAAAAUGGUACCGUAACUUCGGGAGAAGGUACGCUCUUGAUGGUGAAGUCCCUCGCGGAUGGAGCUGACGAGAGUCGCAGAUACCAGGUGGCUGCAACUGUUUAUUAAAAACACAGCACUGUGCAAAAUCGCAAGAUGACGUAUACGGUGUGACGCCUGCCCGGUGCCGGAAGGUUAAUUGAUGGGGUUAGCGCAAGCGAAGCUCUUGAUCGAAGCCCCGGUAAACGGCGGCCGUAACUAUAACGGUCCUAAGGUAGCGAAAUUCCUUGUCGGGUAAGUUCCGACCUGCACGAAUGGCGUAAUGAUGGCCACGCUGUCUCCACCCGAGACUCAGUGAAAUUGAAAUCGCUGUGAAGAUGCAGUGUACCCGCGGCUAGACGGAAAGACCCCGUGAACCUUUACUACAGCUUGGCACUGAACAUUGAACCUACAUGUGUAGGAUAGGUGGGAGGCUAUGAAGACGUGACGCCAGUUGCGUUGGAGCCGUCCUUGAAAUACCACCCUUGUAUGUUUGAUGUUCUAACUUAGACCCAUUAUCUGGGUUGAGGACAGUGCCUGGUGGGUAGUUUGACUGGGGCGGUCUCCUCCCAAAGAGUAACGGAGGAGCACGAAGGUGGGCUAAUCACGGUUGGACAUCGUGAGGUUAGUGCAAUGGCAUAAGCCCGCUUAACUGCGAGAAUGACGGUUCGAGCAGGUGCGAAAGCAGGUCAUAGUGAUCCGGUGGUUCUGUAUGGAAGGGCCAUCGCUCAACGGAUAAAAGGUACUCCGGGGAUAACAGGCUGAUACCGCCCAAGAGUUCAUAUCGACGGCGGUGUUUGGCACCUCGAUGUCGGCUCAUCACAUCCUGGGGCUGAAGUCGGUCCCAAGGGUAUGGCUGUUCGCCAUUUAAAGUGGUACGCGAGCUGGGUUUAGAACGUCGUGAGACAGUUCGGUCCCUAUCUGCCGUGGGCGUUGGAAGAUUGAAGGGGGCUGCUCCUAGUACGAGAGGACCGGAGUGGACGAACCUCUGGUGUUCGGGUUGUGUCGCCAGACGCAUUGCCCGGUAGCUAAGUUCGGAAUUGAUAAGCGCUGAAAGCAUCUAAGCGCGAAGCGAGCCCUGAGAUGAGUCUUCCCUGACAGUUUAACUGUCCUAAAGGGUUGUUCGAGACUAGAACGUUGAUAGGCAGGGUGUGUAAGCGUUGUGAGGCGUUGAGCUAACCUGUACUAAUUGCCCGUGAGGCUUAACCAU